Molecule: ribosomal RNA, 279 nt
Filed under: uncultured bacterium
Lineage: Bacteria
Description: partial 16S ribosomal RNA
Rfam family: Bacterial small subunit ribosomal RNA
Source: RNAcentral
UGCCAGCAGCCGCGGUAAUACGAAGGGUGCUAGCGUUGUUCGGAUUUAUUGGGUUUAAAGGGUGCGUAGGCGGCCUUAUAAGUCAGUGGUGAAAUCCUUCAGCUUAACUGGAGAACUGCCAUUGAUACUGUAAGGCUUGAGUACAGACGAGGUAGGCGGAAUUUAUGGUGUAGCGGUGAAAUGCAUAGAUACCAUAAAGAACACCUAUAGCGAAGGCAGCUUACUAGACUGUAACUGACGCUGAGGCACGAAAGCGUGGGGAGCGAACAGGAUUAGAUA